AACGAACGCUGGCGGCAGGCUUAACACAUGCAAGUCGAACGCCCCGCAAGGGGAGUGGCAGACGGGUGAGUAACGCGUGGGAACGUACCUUUCAGUUCGGAAUAACUCAGGGAAACUUGUGCUAAUACCGGAUACGCCCGCAAGGGGAAAGAUUUAUCGCUGAAAGAUCGGCCCGCGUUGGAUUAGCUAGUUGGUGGGGUAAAGGCCUACCAAGGCGACGAUCCAUAGCUGGUCUGAGAGGAUGAUCAGCCACACUGGGACUGAGACACGGCCCAGACUCCUACGGGAGGCAGCAGUGGGGAAUAUUGGACAAUGGGCGCAAGCCUGAUCCAGCCAUGCCGCGUGUGUGAUGAAGGCCUUAGGGUUGUAAAGCACUUUCACCGAUGAAGAUAAUGACGGUAGUCGGAGAAGAAGCCCCGGCUAACUUCGUGCCAGCAGCCGCGGUAAAGUACAGUGU
Molecule: ribosomal RNA, 457 nt
Filed under: uncultured bacterium
Lineage: Bacteria
Description: bacterial SSU rRNA
Rfam family: Bacterial small subunit ribosomal RNA
Source: RNAcentral